This 417-nucleotide ribosomal RNA is filed under the name Triticum aestivum (bread wheat). Its description in RNAcentral is "partial small subunit ribosomal RNA". The record is from RNAcentral. Lineage: Eukaryota; Viridiplantae; Streptophyta; Magnoliopsida; Poales; Poaceae.
AUGCUGCGCGCCCAGCUCGCGCACGCCCAAGCUCACUUCAAGAAACAAGCCGACCGCCACCGCGCGGAACGCACCUUCGACAUCGGCGAACAAGUUCUCCUCAAACUGCAGCAGUACGCGCAAUCAACCGUCGCCAACCGCCCGUGCCGCAAGCUCUCCUACAAGUUCUUCGGCCCUUUCGAGGUGACAGAGCGGAUCGGAACCCUGGCAUAUCGCCUGCAGUUGCCUCCAGACAGCCGCAUCCAUCCGGUAUUUCACGUCUCUCAGUUCAAGCCUUUCACCCCAGAUUACACUCCAGUCUUCGCCGAGCUGCCGCGAGUGCCCGAUCUCACUGGUGGUGAAACGGAGCCCGUGGCAAUCUUGGAGCGGAGGAUGAUGAAGAAGGGCGAUGCACCAGUUGUGCAACUCCGUGUCUAG